This 218-nucleotide unclassified non-coding RNA is filed under the name uncultured Thelephoraceae. RNAcentral's name for it is "sequence contains ITS2". The record is from RNAcentral. Lineage: Eukaryota; Fungi; Basidiomycota; Agaricomycetes; Thelephorales; Thelephoraceae.
ACACCUCAACUCUCAUGGUUCGCUAUGAUGAGCUUGGACUUUGGAGGUCUUGCUGGCCUGUGGUCAGCUCCUCUCAAAUGAAUCAGCUUGCCAGUGUUUGGUGGCAUCGCAGGUGUGAUAAAUAUCUACGCUUGUGGUUUUCUGCCAGAUAACCUUCAGCAAUGGGGGUUCAUUGGAGCUCAUAAAUAUCUAUCCUCAGUGAGGAUAGCUCUUUGAAU